This 481-nucleotide ribosomal RNA is filed under the name uncultured bacterium. Its description in RNAcentral is "partial 16S ribosomal RNA". It matches the Rfam family "Bacterial small subunit ribosomal RNA", at positions 28 to 507 of the family's 1533-position model. The record is from RNAcentral.
GACGAACGUUGGCGGCGUGCUUAAUACAUGCAAGUCAACUGAAGCAGUGGUAGCAAUAUCGCUGUGGAGGUGGCGCACGGGUGAGUAACACGUAGGUAAUCUGCCUUCAGGUCUGGCAUAACUCCGGGAAACCGGGGCUAAUAGCAGAUGAUGCAGCGGCUCGACAUCGAGACAGUUGUUAAAGCUAUGGCGCCUGAAGAUGAGCCUGCGUCUGAUUAGCUAGUUGGCGGGGUAACGGCCCGCCAAGGCAACGAUCAGUAGCUGGUCUGAGAGGAUGAUCAGCCACACUGGAACUGAGACACGGUCCAGACUCCUACGGGAGGCAGCAGUAAGGAAUAUUGCUCAAUGGGAGAAAUCCUGAAGCAGCAACGCCGCGUGAGGGACGAAGGGCUUUUGCUUGUAAACCUCUGUAGUGAGAGAAAAAAAUCCCAAUCUUUGGGACAUGAUGGUAUCUCAAAAGUAAGCCCCGGCUAACUACGUG